Molecule: unclassified non-coding RNA, 396 nt
Filed under: soil metagenome
Description: partial contains 5.8S ribosomal RNA, internal transcribed spacer 2, and large subunit ribosomal RNA
Rfam family: 5.8S ribosomal RNA (bases 1-122)
Source: RNAcentral
GAUGAAGAACGUAGCGAAAUGCGAUACUUGGUGUGAAUUGCAGAAUCCCGUGAACCAUCGAGUCUUUGAACGCAAGUUGCGCCCGAAGCCAUUUGGUUGAGGGCACGUCUGCCUGGGCGUCACAUAUCGUUGCCCGAUGCCUAUUGCACUGUGAUAGGAAAUUCUAGGGCGAAAGAUGGCUUCCCGUGAGCGUUGUUGCCUCGCGGUUGGUUGAAAAUUGAGUCCUUGGUAGGGUGUGCCAUGAUAGAUGGUGGUCGAGUUUGCACGAGACCGAUCAUGUGUGCGCUCCCCAAAAUAUGGACUCUUUGACCCCAGACGCGUCUUUUGACGCUCAUGACGAGACCUCAGGUCAGGCGGGGCUACCCGCUGAGUUUAAGCAUAUCAAUAAGCGGAGGA